This 164-nucleotide ribosomal RNA is filed under the name uncultured bacterium. RNAcentral describes it as "partial 16S rRNA". It matches the Rfam family "Bacterial small subunit ribosomal RNA", at positions 355 to 511 of the family's 1533-position model. The record is from RNAcentral.
UAGGGAAUCUUCGGCAAUGGGGGCAACCCUGACCGAGCAACGCCGCGUGAGUGAAGAAGGUCUUCGGAUCGUAAAACUCUGUUGUUAGAGAAGAACACGAGUGAGAGUAACUGUUCAUUCGAUGACGGUAUCUAACCAGCAAGUCACGGCUAACUACGUGGCAG